GGAGCCGGCUCCGGCCUCAGCUGGCCCAGAGAGGGGCUCCCUCAGUGCAGUGGCGAGCUGAAGGGCUCCUCAAGGGCGGCUGGAGUGGACGCUGAGGCCGAGGAGACGCCAAGAGCAAACGAGGGCUGCUAGUACAUUGUCACCUCUCACUGGUAACUACAGUUGCUGUCAGUUUAACUGAUGCAAGAGAAGAUAAGGAAGACAAGAUCUCAACCACUUUCAGCAAAGCUUUGCGGAGAAUGCAACAUCCUUCAAGACACCAUGAAGCUCCACGCAUCUGGUCAUCUUGUUUCUUCAGGGAAUAAAUUUAUUGUUCUCUGCUUCAGGGCAGGCACACUUGGCCAGUAAAGAAAAUCCCCCCAGCAGAGAAUUGCAGAUACUCACAGCAAGAAGCCUUUCUUGUGAAUGGAGGAUGGAUGUGGAGCUGGUCCGAGCAGUCUGCCUACUGCAUCUGCUAUGACACCCAGCAAACUGGAAGGGAAAAGCAGUUACAAAGUUUCCAACCAGCACAAAUUCCAUAGUCAGGUUUUCCACAUGUGGGGAAAUGACAGGGGUCAGCACAUCCAACGUGCAAUGGACAAGCCUUGCACUGGGUAAACCACGUUCAUGGUCAUGGAAUCUCAUUUACCAGGCUCCACUGAAAUGAAUGAAACCUGAAAUGGUAGAGAAAACUGCAUAGAAGAGUUCUCAGGCAAUGCAGUCUCAGACUGGAACUACACUAUUGGCUCUCCUGGAUCGCCAGCUUGCCAACUCACCCUGCAGAUCCUGGGAUUUGUCAGCCUCCAUAAUCGUGUGAGCCAACUUCUCAUAAUAAAUGUCUUUCUAUACAUAGGCAACCUAUUAGUUCUGUUUCUCUGGGAGAAUCCUGACUAAUACUCUUUCCCUAACUAAAAUGCUGCAUACAGUUGGG
RNAcentral lists this long non-coding RNA (910 nucleotides) under Homo sapiens (human). RNAcentral's name for it is "HSALNT0332531". The record is from RNAcentral. Lineage: Eukaryota; Metazoa; Chordata; Mammalia; Primates; Hominidae.